Danio rerio (zebrafish) is the source of this 46-nucleotide non-coding RNA. The record is from Rfam. Lineage: Eukaryota; Metazoa; Chordata; Actinopteri; Cypriniformes; Danionidae.
CCAAAGGCUCUUUUAAGAGCCACCCAUGUUUUCGUAUUGAGGGCUU